UAUUUAAAUUUACAAUAUACUUAUUUAAAUAACUCAUAAAACAAAGAGAACACUUUACGAAUGAUAAUAAAUAAUUUUAUUAAUGAAAAAAAUCCUAUUUAGAGCUCAACAACAUGAAUACAUUUGUGCAUUAAACAUCUCCUAAAAGUCUACAAGAUAAUACUAACUGUACAUUUUCACCGUAGCGUGUCGAACAUGUGCAUUAAUCGUCUCUAGCUAAUCCUCGUUGUCGACUUUGAUGAAUCGCUUCAAUGAAAGUCUGCAAACAAGCUAGCUUGGAGGCAAACACCGCCAAAAUCUUCAUUAAGUAGCGCAAAUGUCGUUGUCAUGAAAGCCCCAUCUCUACUAGCUAGCAUAUUCUUCUCAUUGCACUUAUAUUCUUGAAUCUUAAUUUCCUUCUUCAUCAAUUUUGUGUGUCUUCGAUGUGUUAUAUAAACGGUGCCUCUAUGUUUCACCUGAUACCAUAUAAAUUGAGUAAUAAAUAUACAUAACAUAAAUUGAAUUAUAUAUAUUAUGAUGUUGAAAGACAUCAGAAUUUAAAGAAAACUUUCUUACUCCAAAGACCAUUGAUAUCAAACAAUAUGGAGGGCAAUUCGUAGUGCUCUAAAAGAAGCAAUUAGAUGAAUAAAAUAAAGAAAAAUGAAAACAAAGAAAACAUAAUCGCAUAUAAACCAAACGCCUACAUUCCCCUGAAUUAUCAUUAGCACCCCCAAUAACUAGUUGUUAAUACGAAACCUUAUAUCAUUAAUUACUAACACUAAAAUUAAAGUAUAUAGCAAUAUAAAAUGACACAAUACAAUACAUCUUGUGAGCAAAUUAAUUAAUAUGUCAGAUUACUUACCUCCUCAGUAGCAUCAAGUUUUUGAACACCAGUUAUGUGUUUCUGCCAACACAAAAAAGAAGAAAAAAAAAUAUUUCAAAUGUAUUAUCUGAGUUAUUGAUCAAUUAAUACUCCAAAGGUACAAUUUUAAACUAAAGAAAUGAGACAAAACAUGUAAGAAAUAUGACUACUGAAGUAAUCUUGACAAAACCAUAAAAAUAAAAUACUAAAAAUGAAAAACAUUCAUUCACUUGGUCUAUCACAUGAUCUUAAAUAAAUAAAUAAAUAAAAAAAAAAAAGAGAAAUGGCAUAUGAAACUCUUACCCAAUCAAGCAAAACAUAAAGAAUGUACAUAAAAAUCAUAUGGUAUGCCUACUCAAUCAUUUCGAGAAGAUGAGAAUGGUCGGUACCAUGAAUCUGAAGUCCGAAAUUCAAUUUGAUAGUCAUUUGAGACAGAAUAUUCAUUCUCCAAAGCAAUCUAAAAUUGUAUCUGAAACAAAAAAAAAAACAAUAUUCAUUAUCCAAAGAAAUUCAAAACUAAAACUAAAAUAUAAUAUUGAUUCUCCAAAGUAAUCCAUAUGAAAUCCAGAAAGUGAAAUCAAAAUUGAAACUCAAGUCUUAUUCUCUCAUUGACUCCGAUAUGUUAUUCUCUGCAAAAUAGGAAAUCAUUAUCAUAAGUGAUAAGUGGCACAUAAACAAUUCUUAAGAACAAUAAAUUGAGCAUAUUAGGUAGGUAUUAUGGAAGUACAUGAAUGGAAUAGGCGGGGUUAUUAAAAGCAAUAUGAAAUCUGAAUACCCAAUUAAGUAUUAGGGCUUUUAUCAGUCCAAUUAUAAAAUAAUCAAAGAAGAAAAAUAAACCUAAUUCAAAGUGAGAGGGUUUUUACAUAUGUCGGCUUUAGGGCUUACCGUUGGAUAGCAUCGUUGCGGCGGUGUCUGGUGGGGAUUAGAGAGACGAUGUAGAGGGCGACCGAAGCAGGGUAUAACUGAAAAUUUUCGAGACCUUUGCAUCUUUGGCAUUUUCGAAGACCGGAGAAGAUGGGAUAGAAACGACGAUCUAGGAAGAUCGAUGGAUGUAGCCUGGACGCCCCGAUUGAGGGCGGCGAGGGGCUGAAGCGAGAUUAGGAAAAUUAAGAAAGUGGA
This 1960-nucleotide long non-coding RNA is filed under the name Erythranthe guttata (spotted monkey flower). Its description in RNAcentral is "long non-coding RNA (EGUT_LNC000188)". The record is from RNAcentral. Lineage: Eukaryota; Viridiplantae; Streptophyta; Magnoliopsida; Lamiales; Phrymaceae.